Myripristis murdjan (pinecone soldierfish) is the source of this 77-nucleotide long non-coding RNA. RefSeq lists it as uncharacterized. Lineage: Eukaryota; Metazoa; Chordata; Actinopteri; Holocentriformes; Holocentridae. The transcript is spliced from 3 exons. The record is from RefSeq and is a predicted model, not a curated record.
GGCUUGCAAGUAAAGCUUUCUUUGUCAGGGAAUGAAGGCAGCAAAUGGUGAGCACUAAGUAAAAACUUGACAUUGUG